CAGAAUGAACGCUGGCGGCAUGGAUUAGGCAUGCAAGUCGAACGAGAAAGCGCCUCGGGCGCGAGUAAGUGGCGCAAGGGUGAGUAACACGUGAGGAACCUGCCCCCGAGCCCGGAACAAGCCUGGGAAACCGGGUCUGAAACCGGAUGAGGCCUCCGACCGCAUGGUCGGCGGGCCAAAUAUUCAUAGCUUGGGGAUGGCCUCGCGUCCCAUUAGCUUGUUGGCGGGGUGACGGCCCACCAAGGCGACGACGGGUAGGUGGUCUGAGAGGAUGGUCACCCACACUGGGACUGAGACACUGCCCAGACUCCUACGGGAGGCUGCAGUCGAGAAUCUUCCGCAAUGGGCGCAAAGCCUGACGGAGCGAUGCCGCGUGAGGGACGAAGGCCCUAGGGUUGUAAACCUCUGUCGUCCGGGACGAAGACAAUGACGGUACCGGGCAAGAAAGCCACGGCUAACUACGUGCCAGCCGCCGC
RNAcentral lists this ribosomal RNA (476 nucleotides) under uncultured bacterium. RNAcentral describes it as "bacterial SSU rRNA". It matches the Rfam family "Bacterial small subunit ribosomal RNA", at positions 25 to 518 of the family's 1533-position model. The record is from RNAcentral.